Fomitopsis betulina (razor strop fungus) is the source of this 84-nucleotide non-coding RNA. Lineage: Eukaryota; Fungi; Basidiomycota; Agaricomycetes; Polyporales; Fomitopsidaceae. The record is from the annotation of a GenBank genome assembly.
GGUUCAGUGGUGUAGUUGGUUAUCACGUCUGUCUCACAUCUUGGUGGUCACAGGAGGUCUUCGGUUCGAGUCCGGAUUGAACCA